UUGCUAUCUGCGAUAUGGAAGAUUCGAACCUGCCGCAGGUCCGGGACUCACGCAGUGAGACAACGGAGCCGCUUGCGGCGACGGCCCGAAGGGCGAGCGAAGCGAGUCAUCCUGCACGACCCACCA
Molecule: small RNA, 126 nt
Filed under: Salmonella enterica
Lineage: Bacteria; Pseudomonadati; Pseudomonadota; Gammaproteobacteria; Enterobacterales; Enterobacteriaceae
Also listed under: 1 other name
Description: RtT sRNA
Rfam family: RtT RNA
About the family: This family represents a bacterial cis-regulatory element known as RtT RNA. The exact function of RtT is unknown although it is thought that it may be involved in changing the cellular response in relation to amino acid starvation.
Source: RNAcentral